UUAGCACACAUGAAGCUCUGGGUUCAAUCCCUAGGAUUCUACCCCCUCCACCCCCGUAAAAAAUUAAAAGUUGAUAAAAGAGAACAAGGUUUUGCUUCCUUUUAUGUAGGAAUUUUUUAAGAGCUGGAAAUUUUGCCUAGUUCUAUUUCACUCUCAAUUUUAAUAGUUUUUAAAUUUUUAUUAGAGAUUUUCAAAAGUAAAAUUUAUUUUCUUUUAUCUCUAGGUGUUCUCAUCUUUUCUAUGAGUUUGACCAUCUGUAAUGAUUAUUGGCAGCUAGUAGUUUAAUCAUUAAGUAGUAGAGAAGAAACAUUAAUUAGGAGAAAAUGUCAAAUCUAAAAAUGAAAGAGGCAGCCCUUAUCUAUCUUGACAGAAGUGGAGGUCUCCAAAAGUUUAUAGAUGAUUGCAAGUACUACAAUGAUUCAAAACAAAGUUAUGCUGUCUAUCGAUUCAAUAUUUUAAUAAAUCCUUCUGAUGUUGUUGAAUUAUAUGCUGAACUUGGAAAUCACAUUUUACAUCAUCCUUUAAAAGCUGCUCAAGUUUUUCAAUCAGUAAGUUAAAGAAAGAAAUACUUUUAUGCCAAUACUUUUAUUUUUCCUAACUUGUGUGUUUGUUUGAAAUUACAGGUCUGUUUUAUUGCUGUUAAGACUCUCUCAUUAAUUGGACAAUUACAGACUGAAACUCAAAUUAACAUAGUGCUGAAAUUAACACACUUACC
This is a non-coding RNA of Ictidomys tridecemlineatus (thirteen-lined ground squirrel), 715 nucleotides long. The record is from RefSeq and is a predicted model, not a curated record. NCBI's taxonomy places the organism in Eukaryota, Metazoa, Chordata, Mammalia, Rodentia, Sciuridae.